GAAGCUUGCUUCUCUGAUGUUAGCGGCGGACGGGUGAGUAACACGUGGAUAACCUACCUAUAAGACUGGGAUAACUUCGGGAAACCGGAGCUAAUACCGGAUAAUAUUUUGAACCGCAUGGUUCAAAAGUAAAAGACGGUCUUGCUGUCACUUAUAGAUGGAUCCGCGCUGCAUUAGCUAGUCGGUAAGGUAACGGCUUACCAAGGCAACGAUGCAUAGCCGACCUGAGAGGGUGAUCGGCCACACUGGAACUGAGACACGGUCCAGACUCCUACGGGAGGCAGCAGUAGGGAAUCUUCCGCAAUGGGCGAAAGCCUGACGGAGCAACGCCGCGUGAGUGAUGAAGGUCUUCGGAUCGUAAAACUCUGUUAUUAGGGAAGAACAUAUGUGUAAGUAACUGUGCACAUCUUGACGGUACCUAAUCAGAAAGCCACGGCUAACUACGUGCCAGCAGCCGCGGUAAUACGUAGGUGGCAAGCGUUAUCCGGAAUUAUUGGGCGUAAAGCGCGCGUAGGCGGUUUUUUAAGUCUGAUGUGAAAGCCCACGGCUCAACCGUGGAGGGUCAUUGGAAACUGGAAAACUUGAGUGCAGAAGAGGAAAGUGGAAUUCCAUGUGUAGCGGUGAAAUGCGCAGAGAUAUGGAGGAACACCAGUGGCGAAGGCGACUUUCUGGUCUGUAACUGACGCUGAUGUGCGAAAGCGUGGGGAUCAAACAGGAUUAGAUACCCUGGUAGUCCACGCCGUAAACGAUGAGUGCUAAGUGUUAGGGGGUUUCCGCCCCUUAGUGCUGCAGCUAACGCAUUAAGCACUCCGCCUGGGG
RNAcentral lists this ribosomal RNA (819 nucleotides) under uncultured Staphylococcus sp. RNAcentral describes it as "bacterial SSU rRNA". It matches the Rfam family "Bacterial small subunit ribosomal RNA", at positions 75 to 878 of the family's 1533-position model. The record is from RNAcentral. Lineage: Bacteria; Bacillati; Bacillota; Bacilli; Caryophanales; Staphylococcaceae.